Molecule: non-coding RNA, 1138 nt
Organism: Theobroma cacao (cacao)
Lineage: Eukaryota; Viridiplantae; Streptophyta; Magnoliopsida; Malvales; Malvaceae
Source: RefSeq, a predicted model, not a curated record
UUUUAUGGGUUUUUAGUUCCUCUUCUCUCCUUUUUGUUUUAUGUUUUCUUAGCUUGAAAUUUUGUGGGUCUGGUCGAUGAGUUUUUUUAUGUUGGUUUUUAAAUUUUUACUGCUUGAUUUUUUUUGGGUGGUGGUUUUGUGUAAUGUGUAAAUAUUUAUACUAUUAAUCUAGAGAUUUUUGCCCAGUCUAUGUAGUUUAUUGAUAGAUUAUUCACCAUUAACUCUUUUUCUUCUCCUCAAUGCCAUGACAAAUUGACAAGGAUGAGUUAAAUAUCCUUAAAGAAAAUUAAAGUAAUAUGAAAACAGGCAUUUUCCACAUGUAGAUCUAAACAGAAGAGGGCAAUGAAGAAAAUGUAAAGAAGGGAAACUAGGCCAUGGUAGAAGUUAGGCUAAGAUUAAUGCCUAGUUUGGCAUUGCUGUUAGAAAAAGCUCGAGUUGGCAAAAGCACCUUUCUAUGUGCUUCUGCAGUUGGAGAAAGAUCAUGGUCUAAAAAAGUGCUUUUAAACCUAAAAUUAGAUGAUAUUUGACAUUGUGUUAAUUGUUAAAGGUUGUUUUUUUUUUAUAAUCAAAUGCAAUGUCAAACUCUUGUCUUAGCUUAAAAGGAGAAAAACCAUUACCAAAACUAAGAAUGGCUACGUGCAAGCCCUUAUUUAUGCUCAAGAUUAGCUACAUGGGCUUUCCUAUUAUCUUCAUGACACUAAGAAUAAUUUGGUAGAGCUUGAGAAAGUUGCUGAAGAAGAGAGGAUAGGGGUGCUGUUAGAGCAUAUAUUGGUGUGUUGGAUCUUACCAACAAAAAAAGUGAAUUGGGCUUGCCGUUCUUACUUCUGAAAUGAGUGCUUCUAGUGCUAAUGUGCCUACUGCUGCAAAUCCAACCCAAGCACCUGCCAUUGCACUUCCCUUUGUUGCACCACCCUCGUCUCCUGCAUCUUUCCUUCCAUCUGAACCCCCCUUUGCUACACAGUCUCUAACUUUUUUAGUGUCUCUCACCUCUAUUUCUGCUAGUAUGUACUCUCCAUGGCCUAAUUUAAGGGUACAACCUAUUUGUUGAAGACUAUUUGUUGUUGUUUUUAUCUAUUGUUAAAUACUGUUAAUGAUUUGUUGUUAUUCACUCAAGAUUAUUUAUUGUUGUUUCUAUCAA